UGGAGGAUAUGGCUGUUUCUCUUGGCUUCUAACUCCAUUGUCCCGACCUGAUACCCCUGCUGAACACAAUUACAAUCAUGCACAUAAGUCCAUGCGGAAUGUGAUAGAAAGAUGUUUUGGUGUGCUGAAAUCUAGGUUUCGGUGUCUGGAUAAGUCUGGUGGACUUUUGUUGUAUAGUCCCUCCAAGGUGACUCAAAUUGUGUUCUGCUGCUGCUUUCCUCAUAACAUGUGUUUGCAACAACAUCUGCCACAUGUUGAGGAGGAGGAAGAAAGCAGCCAGCAAGCAGAGGAAUUAGAGACAUCUGGGGAUACUUGGAGUACUGAUGUAGGGAGGCAGGUUAGGCAACAGAUCAUCAAUAGCUUUUCUAAGGCAAAGAGAAUGAUUGGAAUCUAGAAAGAGUAAUGAUUAGAAAAAAAUCAAGUGGUCAGUUUACUUCCUGCUAACAUGUAUGUGUGGCUCCAACAACAUUUUCCUCCUCCAAUACCCAAAAAAAUGAAAAAGAAUAAAUCAUCUUACACCCAAUGUCAUACUGUAUGACUCAAGUGGACCAUCAUAUCUUUACUGGAUGUGGACAAGGCCAUUUAGUUUGGAUUCCAUUUCAGCUUUUACUUACUGCGGGAAGUAUUUUUGUUUUGGAUGUGUUUGGACUUAAUGCGGUUAUGACUGAUUAUGAUUAUGUUCUGACAUUUUACACUUUUUUUCCAGUUUGAUACUCACAAUCAAGAUGAGGGGAGUGUGGAUGACGUCUUGGAGGUGUGUCCAAAAUAUAGAGUGGGGGGACCGGUUCCGGUAUGAAUGGUCGACCAUGUUAUGGUCGACA
Molecule: long non-coding RNA, 821 nt
Organism: Pseudophryne corroboree (corroboree frog)
Lineage: Eukaryota; Metazoa; Chordata; Amphibia; Anura; Myobatrachidae
Exons: 3
Source: RefSeq, a predicted model, not a curated record